This 1902-nucleotide long non-coding RNA is filed under the name Homo sapiens (human). Its description in RNAcentral is "HSALNT0114285". Lineage: Eukaryota; Metazoa; Chordata; Mammalia; Primates; Hominidae. The record is from RNAcentral.
UGACAGGGCCUCACUCUGUCACUCAGGCUGGAGUGAAGUGGUGCAAUCACAGUUCACUGAAACCUUGAACUCCUGGGUACAAGGAAUCCUCCUGUCUGGAACUACAGGAAGAAGAUGAUUUUUCACCUAGUGGAGUCAUUGAACAGUGGUCUUCAAAUUGGGAUUAUUUCCAAGAAUAGAUUAAAAUGCCAUGAAAAAGAAAAAAUUAUAGAAAAGCAAAAAGAGCUGAAUGCAGUGAAUGAACAUCUGUGAAUGAAGUUGAGAAGGUAUAUGUGGGGCAGACUAGAAUUGCAGUGCACAGAUACAAGAAUGUUGCCUGCUUUGGAGCCAAGACUGCCUUCCGGAUAAAGGGCCCACAGAGAGCUGAGAGCUGUGUAAUACCUCAAAGACUGAAGAAAAGAGUUAGACAGCCAUCUUUCCUUAGAGGAUUUUGCUGCAGACAGCUUGAACUACCAGAAGGUUAUAUACUGACCAUGGGUAGAGUAAGGAAGAAAUACAUCCUUCGGAAAGGACAAUGAAGAUCUUUACAGCAGGGUCUUGCCUCAUCACUGCCAUGACAGGGGGGUCCAAUGUGAGGAUUCUGGUGUCUAUGCCAAGCAUCUCUUUUCCAACGUAGAUCUGAUUUCUUAACAUAGCCAACAGCAAGUCAACAUCAGCUUUGCAGAGAAAAGCAGGGAUGCGUGUGCACAAAGAAAAGGCCAUGUGAGGACAUAGCAAGAGGGAAGCUGUCCGCAAGCCAAGGAAAAAGGCCUCAGGAGAAACCAAAUCUGCCAAUACAUUGAUCUUGGACUUCCAGCAUUCAGAAAUGUGAGAAAAUAAAUAUCUGCUGUUUAAGCCACCAGUAUAUUAUAUUUGUUAUGGUAGCCUUAGCAAAGUAAGAUAGUUUGUGUUACUGCCUUCUUUUUGCAGAUAAAGCAAUUAUAUCUGAUAGGUAUUAUGUAACCAUAUUAGUCCCAUAGACAGUUGUUUUUGGAUAAACAUAGAAAUUGACCCUUCUGUUGUUAAAGCUUCAAACUUGUAUUUGCUUUAUCUGAGUUCCUUCCUCAGGAAAGGAUAUUCAGUUCUCUCAAAAAAGUAUCGAAGAACUGAAAUUCACUAGAUCACCAUACCAGAUAACUCCUUGCCCCUCCCUAGUUCCUGAUUUCUUAAACAUUGUUACAUUUCUUCCCUGCUGUAUAAAACCCUAGUUUUAAUCAGUCAGAGAGAUGAAUUUGAGACUGAACUCCCAUCUCCUUGCUGCGGCACCCGAUUAAAGCCUUCUCCCUUGGCAAUAUUUGUCUUCUCAGUGAUUGGCUUUCUGUGCAGCAAGCAGCAGGACCUAGACCAAACCCCUGGUAUUGUGGUAACAAACAACACACAUGCACACACAUAUACAUGCAAAUGACUGAUAAAAGAGAUAAAAGAAAGGAAAAGGAAAGCAGAAGGAGGAAGAUCAUCCAUGAAUCCAUUGAGAAUAGACACUGAUGAUCUAUUUGGUUUCUUUCUUUACCUAAUUCUUUAUCAUUAUAGCUUUUGUAUAUAAUGCUAGCUUUCUACCACAUCAUGUUAGGUUAUUUACCCAUUAUGUGAUCUUUCUUUUAAAUGUUUCUAUUUCUUUUCAUUAAAUGAAAUAAUUGUUAAAGGGGUGACUUCAAUUAACUUCUAGGCCUUCUAUAUAGUGUUGCAAAGGCCCAUAUUCUACAUCUAGGUUAAAUUUUCCUGUCUUUUGUUAUUUAAUUAUCUAGCAUAUGAGCAACAAAUAGGGAUCUGAAAGUGACUAUCUGUGUUGGGUUAUCCUUGGAAAAAUAACAUGACAAACAAAGGUAGAUUAGCCCACUGGUAACAAAAUUCAAAUGAGACAACUAUCCUGUUCCCCAAAUCAAAUAUUUCUCAAAAGCAAUCAAUGAUUAAUUAAAAGUAGUG